This 314-nucleotide ribosomal RNA is filed under the name Staphylococcus aureus. RNAcentral describes it as "partial 23S ribosomal RNA". It matches the Rfam family "Bacterial large subunit ribosomal RNA", at positions 2589 to 2904 of the family's 2925-position model. The record is from RNAcentral. Lineage: Bacteria; Bacillati; Bacillota; Bacilli; Caryophanales; Staphylococcaceae.
UAAAGCGGUACGCGAGCUGGGUUCAGAACGUCGUGAGACAGUUCGGUCCCUAUCCGUCGUGGGCGUAGGAAAUUUGAGAGGAGCUGUCCUUAGUACGAGAGGACCGGGAUGGACAUACCUCUGGUGUACCAGUUGUCGUGCCAACGGCAUAGCUGGGUAGCUAUGUGUGGACGGGAUAAGUGCUGAAAGCAUCUAAGCAUGAAGCCCCCCUCAAGAUGAGAUUUCCCAACUUCGGUUAUAAGAUCCCUCAAAGAUGAUGAGGUUAAUAGGUUCGAGGUGGAAGCAUGGUGACAUGUGGAGCUGACGAAUACUAA